Molecule: ribosomal RNA, 229 nt
Filed under: uncultured bacterium
Lineage: Bacteria
Description: partial 16S ribosomal RNA
Rfam family: Bacterial small subunit ribosomal RNA
Source: RNAcentral
CGGACGGGUGAGUAAUGUCUGGGAAACUGCCUGAUGGAGGGGGAUAACUACUGGAAACGGUAGCUAAUACCGCAUAACGUCGCAAGACCAAAGAGGGGGACCUUAGGGCCUCUUGCCAUCGGAUGUGCCCAGAUGGGAUUAGCUGUGGUGGGGUAACGGCUCACCAGGCGACGAUCCCUAGCUGGUCUGAGAGGAUGACCAGCCACACUGGAACUGAGACACGGUCCAG